UGACGGGAGGAGGACGUGCGCGGUUCCGGUCUGCAACCGCGCUUCAUGAUUGAGGGGCCAGCGACCACCAGCCGUCGAUCGAGGACCACAGCCACAUACAGGUGCAUUGCAUCACAGGACCCUCAUGUGAGACGUCGAAGUUGAGCGAGAUGAUGCUCAAUUUGGAGCCGGGACUCUGCGUUCGCGACGUCGCGAUGAUUCAACCUGGUGCCUGCCUCCUCACGCCGCGCCGCGACCCCCUCUGGCUGCAGCUCAACCCCCUCGAGGCCGUCAGUCUGAUCAUCGGCCAGCAGCGAGUGGCAGGUCGGCAAGACGAAGCUGUUCCUGCGGAGGAGCAUUGCAGUCGCUGGUCAUCCAGCGCUCGUUGAAACGCUACAAGGCCGUCAAAGAGUUCACGAGUGUGCGGUGGGCGGCGCUGACCAUCCAGCAUGGCAUCCUCUUCCUCAGACAGCGCCGCGUCGCCGUCGUCAUCCAGUCGCACCUCCGCGCGGCGUCUUCACCAGAGAGGUGGCCAGUGCUCUCAGCGAAAUGCGGCGCGUCGAGCAUUUCCUACUGUCAAAAUUUUAAAUUUUAUGUUUGAAUAAAAGGAUUGUCAAAUACGAAUCUUUUUUAUUUAAUAAAUCAAGUCAAAAUAUUACGAGAGGAUCUUGUAGUCUUUUUGGUUCCUCCUUCUGGUUUUCAUGCUCGGCCUGUCCGCGGCCUUCAUCAACUUCACCGCCGUUUUUGAGUGGGAGAACUUUGACUUUUUGUGGCUCUCAGAAGAUUUUAGAAAAGAAGCUUUGAAAAAGAAAGGGUAUAAUCGUAUUAUCCCAGAGGAUCAUGUCGUUUACGGGGAAUGAGUGUUUAUCAGCAUUUAUAAAUCGAGAGAUUACCCAAUACCAUUUACCCUAAACUGGCUGUCGACCACUGCGUCUUCAAGGUCUCCGAA
Molecule: long non-coding RNA, 928 nt
Organism: Cloeon dipterum
Lineage: Eukaryota; Metazoa; Arthropoda; Insecta; Ephemeroptera; Baetidae
Exons: 3
Source: RefSeq, a predicted model, not a curated record